UGGGGAAUAUUGGACAAUGGGGGGAACCCUGAUCCAGCCAUGCCGCGUGUGUGAAGAAGGCCUUAUGGUUGUAAAGCACUUUAAGCGAGGAGGAGGCUCUCUUGGUUAAUACCCAAGAAGAGUGGACGUUACUCGCAGAAUAAGCACCGGCUAACUCUGUGCCAGCAGCCGCGGUAAUACAGAGGGUGCGAGCGUUAAUCGGAUUUACUGGGCGUAAAGCGUGCGUAGGCGGCUUUUUAAGUCGGAUGUGAAAUCCCCGAGCUUAACUUGGGAAUUGCAUUCGAUACUGGGAAGCUAGAGUAUGGGAGAGGAUGGUAGAAUUCCAGGUGUAGCGGUGAAAUGCGUAGAGAUCUGGAGGGAUACCGAUGGCGAAGGCAGCCAUCUGGCCUAAUACUGACGCUGAGGUACGAAAGCAUGGGGAGCAAACAGG
Molecule: ribosomal RNA, 430 nt
Filed under: bacterium
Lineage: Bacteria
Description: partial 16S ribosomal RNA
Rfam family: Bacterial small subunit ribosomal RNA
Source: RNAcentral